RNAcentral lists this long non-coding RNA (314 nucleotides) under Anas platyrhynchos platyrhynchos (common mallard). RNAcentral describes it as "lncRNA (ENSAPLG00000018143.1)". The record is from RNAcentral. Lineage: Eukaryota; Metazoa; Chordata; Aves; Anseriformes; Anatidae.
AUUUGUGAGGGGGGCAGCGGGCCCGGCGCCCCCCGUACCUGGCCUCAGGGGAGGCCCCGGGCGCCCCCUCCCACGCCGAGCUCCGCGGCCUGCCCUGCGGUGAGCUGAGGGAUUUCACGGAAUCAGCAAAUAUCCCGCCUUGGAAAGGACCCGUGUUUGUAUUUACAGCUUAACCCGCGGUGAUGUGCUGCUGGUGCUCGCCUUCUGGGGCUUUCAGGUGCGCAGGCAGCUCAAGGGAAACAUUUAAAGGACGCUUACAAAUACUGUCUGCGUCUGAAAGCAAAAUGGAAUAUAAUUCUAGAAAGCAUGGAUGA